RNAcentral lists this ribosomal RNA (1349 nucleotides) under uncultured bacterium. RNAcentral describes it as "bacterial SSU rRNA". It matches the Rfam family "Bacterial small subunit ribosomal RNA", at positions 28 to 1398 of the family's 1533-position model. The record is from RNAcentral.
GACGAACGCUGGCGGCGCGCCUAACACAUGCAAGUCGAACGAGCGAGAGAGAGCUUGCUUUCUCGAGCGAGUGGCGAACGGGUGAGUAACGCGUGAGGAACCUGCCUCAAAGAGGGGGACAACAGUUGGAAACGACUGCUAAUACCGCAUAAGCCCACGGGUCGGCAUCGACCAGAGGGAAAAGGAGCAAUCCGCUUUGAGAUGGCCUCGCGUCCGAUUAGCUAGUUGGUGAGGUAAUGGCCCACCAAGGCAACGAUCGGUAGCCGGACUGAGAGGUUGAACGGCCACAUUGGGACUGAGACACGGCCCAGACUCCUACGGGAGGCAGCAGUGGGGAAUAUUGCACAAUGGGGGAAACCCUGAUGCAGCGACGCCGCGUGGAGGAAGAAGGUCUUCGGAUUGUAAACUCCUGUUGUUGAGGAAGAUAAUGACGGUACUCAACAAGGAAGUGACGGCUAACUACGUGCCAGCAGCCGCGGUAAAACGUAGGUCACAAGCGUUGUCCGGAAUUACUGGGUGUAAAGGGAGCGCAGGCGGGAAGACAAGUUGGAAGUGAAAUCCAUGGGCUCAACCCAUGAACUGCUUUCAAAACUGUUUUUCUUGGGUAGUGCAGAGGUAGGCGGAAUUCCCGGUGUAGCGGUGGAAUGCGUAGAUAUCGGGAGGAACACCAGUGGCGAAGGCGGCCUACUGGGCACCAACUGACGCUGAGGCUCGAAAGUGGGGGUAGCAAACAGGAUUAGAUACCCUGGUAGUCCACACCGUAAACGAUGAUUACUAGGUGUUGGAGGAUUGACCCCUUCAGUGCCGCAGUUAACACAAUAAGUAAUCCACCUGGGGAGUACGACCGCAAGGUUGAAACUCAAAGGAAUUAACGGGGGCCCGCACAAGCAGUGGAGUAUGUGGUUUAAUUCGACGCAACGCGAAGAACCUUACCAAGUCUUGACAUCCCUUGACGAUGCUGGAAACAGUAUUUCUCUUCGGAGCAAGGAGACAGGUGGUGCAUGGUUGUCGUCAGCUCGUGUCGUGAGAUGUUGGGUUAAGUCCCGCAACGAGCGCAACCCUUAUGGUCAGUUACUACGCAAGAGGACUCUGGCCAGACUGCCGUUGACAAAACGGAGGAAGGUGGGGAUGACGUCAAAUCAUCAUGCCCUUUAUGACUUGGGCUACACACGUACUACAAUGGCGUUAAACAAAGAGAAGCAAGACCGCGAGGUGGAGCAAAACUCAGAAACAACGUCCCAGUUCGGACUGCAGGCUGCAACUCGCCUGCACGAAGUCGGAAUUGCUAGUAAUCGUGGAUCAGCAUGCCACGGUGAAUACGUUCCCGGGCCUUGUACUCAAAGCCCGUC